Molecule: long non-coding RNA, 2000 nt
Organism: Anguilla rostrata (American eel)
Lineage: Eukaryota; Metazoa; Chordata; Actinopteri; Anguilliformes; Anguillidae
Exons: 2
Source: RefSeq, a predicted model, not a curated record
UCCCGUCCGUCUGACGUUCCCCUCCAUCUGACGUUCCCCUCCAUCUGACGUUCCCCUCCAUCUGACGUUUCUGACUGAGGAGCAGAACGCAUCACGCACAGGUACACACCUCCUCUCUCCACAGCACUACCGCUACCACUAGCACUAGCAUUAGCAUUACAUUAUAGCCACUUAGCAGACGCUCUUAUCCAGAGCGACUUACACAACUUUCUUUACACAGCAUUUACACUGCAUCCAUUCAUACAGCUGGAUGUAUACUGAAGCAAUGCAGGUUAAGCACCUUUUGCUCACGGGUACAACGGCCUGGGAAUCGAACUUGGUUAGAUGACCAGCUCCUUACCCUCUAUUCUUAGUGCAUUAGCGUAUACAUUUAAGCAGAAGCCAAGGGUUCUGGGGCUCUGGCUAUCAGGUGAAUUUUGAGUGGCACAGAGGUACAGUAUUUAAAACCUAUUUUGUUUGCCUUUUCUGUGUGAUACGUUUUACAGUUGCGUUGGAGACGGGUACGGUAAUUAGAGAGAGAGGAGCUGUAGCAGAACACCCCCUCCCCCCCCACCCCCCCCGUACCCCCGGGGCACGGAGAGGGCCUCAACGGGAAUCUUCAUUAAAUAUUAUGGUAGGAGCAAAAGCAAAUAAGGACGUUAAAGGAUUACAUUUGUCUGUGCGCGCUGCACCUACGCUAGCGAGAGGCGCCAGAUCAGAGAGAGAGAGAGAGAGAAAUGAGGACAGUCCUUACGGUUACAGCUCUCCACGGUGCGUUUGAAGUGCCACUCUCCCGGGGGAGGGGGGGUGUGUGGGAUCUCUCCCACAUUCGCGGUUAGAAUGUAACAUUAGCAGCUCAAAGCCUCGCUCUCUCGAUGUGCGAUCUUUGAUAAACGGCGCGGGUUGUGUAAUGGCCUCUCGGCCUCUGACAGACACUGUCGGAGGCUAGCUGAGGCUAGCAGAGGCUCAUUGAGUUUAGCAGGGGGUAGCAAAGGUUAGCUGAGGCUAGCUGAGGUUAGCAGGGGCUAGCAGAGGCUAACUGAGGCUAGCAGAGGUUAGCAGGGGCUAGCAGAGGUUAGCUAAGGCUAUCUGAGGCUAGCAGAGGUUAGCUGAGGCUAGCAGAGGUUAGCUGAGGCUAGCUGAGGCCGCUGAGAAACAGGAGCUCUCACGGGGGCCAGAAACAGAGCAGACCACCUCAGGGGGCGGUCCCGCCAGAUCACGUACAUGCGUGUGCGUGUGUGCAUGUGCUCAUGAAUGUACACCUGCUGAUCUUCUGCGAGUCGGCGUGUGACCCCGCGUGUACACGCGUUUGGCGCGUGUAUUCGGGUCUGCUGUCAGCGGCCAAUCGGAGAGCUUCGUUUCACAGAGCGAUCGGCGCCGACCUGCUACCGAUAUCCAUGUUGCCACGGCGAGAACGGACACUCGUGGGAGCAGUGCAUGUUGGGAGGACGUCGUGCAGAGCAGGGUGAGAUCAGCUGCUGCUGAUAAGACCGUGAAUAUCAUAACCCUGCUCGCCGCACAUUCGCUGAUGGCUCGAUUGGCAGACGUGUGCAUGUUCGUAAUCAAACGAUUGUGAAAUCAUCACGAUGACACUCACUGAUAAACAUACAGUAUGGAGAGGAAAGGGAAGUUAUGAAAUAGUGGUUAUCGCUCCUGUGUGAGUGUGUGUUGUGUGUUGUGUGUGUCUGUGUCUGUGAGAGAGAGUGAGCGAGAGAGAGGAGGAGACAGAUGUGCUUCCGCCUAGACUGUGAGAAAUACUCUGAAAUCAGAAAAAACAUUUCAGGACAUUUUCUAAAUUUAUAAACACAUUUCCUUCCCUGACAAAUGUGGAAAAGCUGCAAAUCCCUCUGGCAGAAGGGUCAAGGGUCAGAACAGGAAGUCUCGGCCUGUCACAACCAGAGGGACAGCGAGUAACCACUCAGCAAGAAUAUGACGACUGCACAGAUAAACAAUGUAUUAUCCGUUCCACUUACAGCAAGUAUUAUAAUUACGGUUAAUAAAUAAAGGCUUUCAAUAUUCUU